UUAUCGUGUCCGGCAAAGUUAAAAAUAUUUAUUUGGCGAACGUUACAUGGAACUCUAUCGUGUCGUGUUACACUUGCCAAUAGACAUAUGAAAGUUUUGCCCCUUUGUCCAUCAUGCUCGAAUGGGCAAGAAGAUACAAAACACAUCUUGUUUCCGUGUCAGAAGGCAAAAGAGGUUUCGGGUAAGCUGGGGAUGUACGAGGUAAUUAAGAAAGCUUGUGUUAUCGAUCGUGCGGGUGAGGCGGUUCUUGAAUUCUUCUUAUGCCGCACUAAGAACUCUAUAUUAGGUUGCUAGAAUGAAAGUGAAUUAAUCGCGCUAACCACUUGGUAUUUAUGGUGGGAGAGAUGCAUGUUGGUUCAUGAAGGGAAGUCUCAAGAUGUGAACCAGAUUUUGAUGAGGGUUCGUGCUAUAACGGCAAACUAUGUGAAUGCCCACUCCCCUAGUGUGACUAGUAGAAAAGAAGGAUGGAGCCGACCUCCUAUGGGUUUUAUUAAACUAAAUGUUGAUGCUUAUUUUGACCAUGAUCUACUCAGGGGCACGGCAGGUGCUGUACUCAGAGAUGACAAAGGAAAAUUCAUUGUUGGCGGAAAUUGGAAGAUCGAUUGGUGUGCUGAUGUACUAACAGCAGAAGCGAUGGCUCCUAGGUUUGGUUUAAUUCUUGCACAAAAGGCGGGAUGCAAUCGUCUUAUUAUUAACUCUGAUAAUAUGGAAGUCAUUGACACAAUGAAGAAUGGAGGACAAUCGGCGGGAUUUGAGGCGGGAGUCUUUGAGGAUUGCUACUUCAUGGCAUGUGAUUUUCCGCUGACUAGAUUUGAACAUUGUAAUAGGGUAGUUAAUAAGGUUGCUCAUGAACUUGCUAGGCUAGCGAAAGUUUCUGUAACUAGAGAUUGGUUUGAGGAGCCUAUGGAGAAUAUUGUACCUCUUCUUAUAGACGAUGUAACCAUUAUUUCCAAUUAA
Molecule: ribosomal RNA, 957 nt
Filed under: Triticum aestivum (bread wheat)
Lineage: Eukaryota; Viridiplantae; Streptophyta; Magnoliopsida; Poales; Poaceae
Description: partial small subunit ribosomal RNA
Source: RNAcentral